GAGGGGAUAGCUCAGUGGUAGAGUGCGUGCUUAGCAUGCACGAGGUCCUGGGUUCAAGUCCCAGUCCCUCCA
This 72-nucleotide transfer RNA is filed under the name Camelus bactrianus (Bactrian camel). It matches the Rfam family "tRNA". From Rfam's summary of the family: Transfer RNA (tRNA) molecules are approximately 80 nucleotides in length. Lineage: Eukaryota; Metazoa; Chordata; Mammalia; Artiodactyla; Camelidae. The record is from Rfam by way of RNAcentral. RNAcentral also lists the same sequence under 2 other names.